RNA transcript from Sipha flava (yellow sugarcane aphid), 599 nucleotides. It is a transcript of the gene named THAP domain-containing protein 6-like, with no coding region annotated. Lineage: Eukaryota; Metazoa; Arthropoda; Insecta; Hemiptera; Aphididae. The record is from RefSeq and is a predicted model, not a curated record. The transcript has 2 exons.
UUUUUGUUUUAAUUUCGACGCCUAUGAUUUAACAUUUACCUAACCGUUUUCAAUUCAUUGAUUUUAUAAAUAUUGUAGCAAUGAGUAACCGAAUUUGCUGUGUAGUUAAUUAUAAUAAUACUUAUAAAAAUAGCAAAAACGUGAUAUUCUACAGUUUUCCAAACAGACCACAUGAAAAAAAUUUAAAAGAUCGUUGGGUAAAAGCUGUUAAACGAUUAGAGCAAUAAAACUGAUCGGUUAUGGCAACCAAUGGCUCAUAGCUUAGUUUGCAGUGACCACUUCAUUGGUAACAGAAGAUCUAAAGAUCCAAGAAGUCCAGCAUAUGUCCCAUCAGUAUUUUCUAAAAUUUAUAAAAGACAGUCAACUAACAAACAACAACAAAAUAAUAGAUAUCAACGAAACCUCCAACGUCAAGAUAACAAACAGAGAGUAUUUUUAAAUUGUCAUGUAGUUAUACCUCUGACAGUGCAUAACCACAAAUGUUAAAUUACAUGAAAAGUAUAAGUGUUAGCACUCAGGUUGCAUUUGAUUUUGAUGAUACUAAAAAUUUUACUUUUGAAUGUACAUUCAAUAAAACAGAUUGUAAUGUCGUGAUACAA